This is a long non-coding RNA of Papilio polytes (common Mormon), 1347 nucleotides long. RefSeq lists it as uncharacterized. The record is from RefSeq and is a predicted model, not a curated record. NCBI's taxonomy places the organism in Eukaryota, Metazoa, Arthropoda, Insecta, Lepidoptera, Papilionidae. The transcript has 3 exons.
AACGAAAAUUGUUAUCGCAGGUAAUAAUAACGUAGCAAAUUGUAUUCAUUCGAAUAUUCUACUUAUAAAUACUAUAGAUUAAUAUGAAUAUGGCUUAAAUAUAGAGAUAUAUCAGUUCAAUAGGGGACUAUUUAUCGCAACUCAAACAUUUUGUGGCUUAUCACGAGAUAGUUUGUCGAGCUUGUAGUCUUUUAGUAGAAUGUUGUGCAAAAGUGAAAUCCGUUUUAGUUUAAUAAAUUAUAUAAUAGUUUUAUUAUUCCAUACAAUAUUUUACACCGGUUUUUCGAAGUGUUCCAGUGACAUCAUGUUUCUAGAAAAUUCUAAAUUGAUUUUUUGUAAACAGCGGUUAUAUAAUGAUACAAUUAUGAUUACUGAUAUUAAAUUGUGGAAAAGGCUGAGGAUAGCCAGAAAAAACUUUAUCGGAAAAAUACGUUUCUACGAAGAAGGUUAUACGAAGAACAAUGAUUCAACAUGCUAAAGAUUCCAACGCUGUUCAAUGAAAGUAAUAAAUCUUAAUAAGGUACACAGAAUCCUUCGUGUGACCAAUUUACAAGAUACGUGUUAAAAUUUCAUACUUUAAUAACAUUUAGAAGAAAAUACUCAAGAAAAUUUAAGAAGAUAUGACUAAAGAGUUCAUUCCCAUAUCAAAAGAAAGACAUGUGAACGAAGAAUGAUUUAUAAUAACUUUUAUUGAAGAAUUACGCAGAAAUCUAUACAUUUCAAUCAUUUCUAUUAAUUACUAGACGUUCAAAUAAUUAUGUUUGAACAUUCAUAAUCUUUAUAACCUGAAAACUGCUGCUAUUAUCGACACGUUAUAUUUCAAAGAGAAAACUGAUCACAAGGAGAUUUAAAAAAAAUAUUUAUCUUUAAAUGUAACUUUUUGGAAGAAGAAAAUUACAAUGGUAUGCUAUUGGAUUUAAAUAUCGUUGUUAUAAAUGGAGAUGAAGUCGUUGCUAUACUCCGUCGACUACGCGAUACAUCCAAGACGUUGUCCAUGCAGAGAUUUCCUUCAACACCAUUAUUUAAACCACAUUUUUUUAAUAAAAACCUAGAGACUGUGUUAUGAACUUGUGCAUAACGGAACUUGAAUCCAGAUCAAACAGAAACUAUCACAGUCAAUGCGGGCGGGUUGGAUGGUCGCCCAGGGCGCUGGACAGAAAGGAGCGACACAGGACUGCCAAUUUAGUAUUCUUACAUCAACCAGUUAACCCCCCUUCCCAUCUAGUAGCAGGUAAAAAGAGACGCCGUAGAAAGCUCGACCAGGGCGCUGCACACACUGCCCAUGAUUGUUAUUGUUUGUACUGUAAUGUUUAAUUCAAAUGUAUUUAAGUAAUGAAAAAAAACUAC